This is a long non-coding RNA of Cucurbita maxima (winter squash), 879 nucleotides long. RefSeq lists it as uncharacterized. The record is from RefSeq and is a predicted model, not a curated record. NCBI's taxonomy places the organism in Eukaryota, Viridiplantae, Streptophyta, Magnoliopsida, Cucurbitales, Cucurbitaceae. The transcript has 2 exons.
GAACCUUAUGUAAUGCUUUCUUCAUCAAUCAUCACUAACAAAUCUCAUCAGAGAAGGGUUUUAGGGUUCGCUUCCUUUGCCCGUCGCCCUUCUCUCUGCAUACUCGCUUCGUCGUCGUCGUCGGCGGCGGCGGCGGCGUUGUUUUUUUGUUCCGAUUAGCUGGUUCUCUCUAACUUAUAAGUUAUUUAUGCUUCUCCUACUCUGUAUUUUACUUUUCGCUUUGCCGUUAAUCGUAUCUUUUCCGGCAGCAUUGAUGAUGAAACACUCUUAUUGUUAUCCUUGCACUUUGAUUUAUCGUGAAGAAACUCAUGGGGAAUAGUGUUCCUGAAAUGCUUUUGUUUAUUGAAAGAGUCAUUAGUUUUCCAUUUUGUAGAUCAGGCGUUUUUCUGUUCUAACUUCGCGUCUGGAUCGAUGAUGUGAUUUUAUCUGCGUUAUCUAUCUGCAAUUUCCUUCUAGGAAUUGAAGAUAAACGAAUAGUCUCUGAGAUCUGUUUGUUGUCUUCUUCAUCUUCUGUAAUUUUGGCUGAUUGAUUUGUUUCUCUAUCGGUUUUAGUUGAUUUCUGUGAGAUUUGGGAUUGUUUGCUUGCUUGGUUAUGUGAUUAUACUAAUGCAGCCCUUGGAUAUUAAUGGAAAACUGCGUUAUCUAUCUGUAAGUUCCAAUAUGGAAUUGAUGAGAUUAGUGAUUUCAGAGAUCCAUCUGCGUUGCCAUCAUAGUGUAUAGUUCAAGGAUAGAAUCUAUUCUUUUCUCCACCCACCAGAUAGCCACAUGAAGCUGCUGUGCUGUUGGAUGGCUAAUUGAUGGGUACUGCUGCGAUUUUGAUAUUGAACAUUCGAAAAAUUACUAAUCUAUUUUACAUUAUUUCGGUCUUUGAAUAUUCUA